This 253-nucleotide ribosomal RNA is filed under the name uncultured bacterium. RNAcentral's name for it is "partial 16S ribosomal RNA". It matches the Rfam family "Bacterial small subunit ribosomal RNA", at positions 524 to 776 of the family's 1533-position model. The record is from RNAcentral.
UACAGAGGUCCCAAGCGUUGUUCGGAUUCACUGGGCGUAAAGGGUGCGUAGGUGGUGAGGUAAGUCGGAUGUGAAAGCUCGGAGCUCAACUCCGAAAUGGCAUUGGAAACUACCUUGCUCGAGGGUUGGAGGGGGGACUGGAAUGCUUGGUGUAGCAGUGAAAUGCGUAGAUAUCAAGCGGAACACCAGUGGCGAAGGCGGGUCUCUGGACAGUUCCUGACACUGAGACACGAAGGCCAGGGGAGCAAACGGG